CCGUGGUCUGACACUGUCACAUUUUUAAUCACGUGUUAAUUUCCAUGAUUUUCACACACACACACACACACACACACACACACACACACACAUAUAUAUAUAUCUUUUUUUUUCUUUAGCACACAUUUACAUGCCAUGUAUUAUCAGACUCCUUUUUACCGUUUUAAUUAAUCAGAUUAUAAUAAUAAUAUUGUAUAAUCCAUUGUGCUGGGGGCAGCCAGUUUACACAUCCAGUACAUGUUAGGCUCGUAUUCCCUCCUAGCUUCCCCCCCACCCCCGAGCCCCCACCCCAGGUAUAUUACAUAUUCUUUUUUUAAUUAUUCAGAUUUAAUUUGAAGUUCUUUUUAAUUAAUCAGGUUUUUGUCGGGUUUUAUUAGAAGUUGCUUCUCUCCUCUUAAUAUUUGCAACUUUUGUAUGCAAGCAUAUUAUAAUUUGUGCUGCAAGUUAUAAUAUACAAGCUUUUAUUUAAUGCACUUUUUUGCCUUGUAUCUUUCUUUUUUGGUAUCUAGCGAACCCACAGGCAGCUUACCUUGGAGACCGGCUGCGGAUAUGGGUACGCACUGGCCCGAAACUAGGCGUUGCGGGCACGGAGACCCGCGCUGCCCCAGUUACCUCCGUCGCAUGUUUCACGGACACAGUUUUUGCCAUAACUGUGUAAUAUACAAUAUUUAAAUAUUUAAAUAUGAAAUUAUUGGUCAAAUAUUUUCUUUUUACUUAAAGUUGUGUUUAUUUAGUAACAAGUAAGACUAGUAAAAUAUUGCUAAAGAUGAAAUCUCAAAAAAAGAUAAAACUAUCUUUGUUCAUAAUGAUUAUUUUUGUUCCAUUGUAAAAGGGACCUUAGAUACAAAUUGUCGUGAAAAAUCUCAUUAUGGAAGCUAGUUAUUUAAUCCGGCAUUUUUCAUUUAGAGGCAUUGUAUAGUGCUAAAUAUUUUGACCUAAUUUACCUGAUUUACCUGAGAGCCACUAACAAUAGUGACCUCGGUGAGGACAGGAAGCCGGUGGCUUGUCGAAGGCCCCCCCCCUCAUAUUUACCUGAUACAUAUGUUCCCAUUAUUUCCUUAUGAUAACAAUAACAAUGUAAAAUGUCAUUCCUAUCUGUCAGUCAAAUCUUAAAGUGGAAAAUAUGUACUGCAAGCUAGAUCACAAAGCUAAGGCUGGCCAAAGCUUAGUGACAUCAAAGUAGGAUAAUCAGUGUCUUCUUGGUGUUAUCUUGAGGUUAUCUUGUGGUUAUCUUGAGAGGAUUUUGGGGCUCAGCGUCCCCGCGGCCCGGUCCUCGACCAGGCCUCCUUUUUGUUACACAUUCCCAGGAAGCAGCAGCCCGUAGCAGCUGGCUAACUCCCAGGUAUCUAUUGACUGCUAGGUGAACAGGGGCAUCAGGCUGAAAGUAACUUUGCAGCCCAUUUCUUUCCACCUCCACUGGGGAUCGAACCCAGAACCUCAGGACUACGAAUCCCGAGUGCUGUCCACUCAGCUGUCAGGCCCGUAAGGAGCUGAUCAGUAUUUAAAUGGCAGAUUUAUCCAAAUUCCUAAGUGCCCAAUCCUCCACAAUCUUGAGAGAUCAAAUUAGAAUCUACAACAAGUAAUGAGGCAUGUACUAUGUGCUUAUCUCUACUAAUGGAGUUGUGCCUUGACAUAUUUCUCUUCAUAAUGGGUAAAAUUGGUGAUAAUGGUAUCAAACUUCUGUACUUCUCCAUGCAAUGGUAACUGGUAAAUACAAUGGUAACUGAACAAAUCCACAAGGGCCGUGACGAGGAUUCGAACCUACGUCCAAGAAACAAUGGUAACUGGUAAAUACAGUGGUAAAUGGUAACUGCUUUAUAUACUUUUCUGAAUAAAAUUAAAAUAGUGAGCUCCAUAAUUAAGUCUUGUUUGUUAUAAACUGUUAGUUGUUCAUUUGCUAUGUAGAGCAAUCAAGAGAUUUCAAUCUUCAAUUUCAGUCAAGCGAUUUCACUCUUUUCGACUUCAAUCAAGAGAUUUCACUCUUGAUGCUCUGCUCUAAACAAAAAAAUGAUGUUACAUGAUAUAGGUAUGAGAAGAAAAGUCUAUUUUAGCAUUUUGCAUUGGCUUUUAUAUUUUAUUUAUGUAUUAUUUGUGUUGAUUGCCAUUAUAAUGUUAAAAUUCUUUCUCAUAAAGACUAGAAACCACUAUUAUCUGUGAUUUGAAUUUAUUUUUAAUUUGCUCAUGUGUUUGCACUUUGGUAAUUUGAUCAGCUCGAAAGCUCGAGGAAAGGCAAGUUUAAGAAAUGCAAGUUUAAGAAACGCAAGUUUAAGAAAUGCAAGUUUAACCGAAUUUACUUGCAUGCAUUUCUUUGAGUUGCCGUUUUUGGUUAUACAGUAUUUUCCCAGGGAGGACUUACCUUUGUAUGUAUGUUACCUCUUGACUGAUGUCAAGGUCAUUUCAGAACUCCAAGUAGGUUGAAUAAAUCACAAAUAAUAACUCUACUUCACACUUAUCUUGCAGUUACCUUGCGUUGAUUUCGGGGCUUAGUGUCCCCCGCGGCCCGGUCCUCGACCAGGCCUCCUAUACACCUACAUACACAUCUGGUGAGCUGUUGUAUUAAAGCCUUGUCUUGGUUCUCUGUUUAUAAUUAGUUUAUACAGGUAAUCAUUUGAGAAAAGAUCUGAAUCGAACCAGUUUGUGUUUGAGGGUGUGAGGUAGUUUGUGUUUGUGUAUAUGUUGUGGGUUAUCUGAAGAUUCCAAGAACCAGUUUGUGUUUGAGGGUGUGAGGUAGUUUGUGUUUGUGUAUAUGUUGUGGGUUAUCUGAAGAUUCCAAGAACCAGUUUGUGUUUGAGGGUGUGAGGUAGUUUGUGUUUGUGUAUAUGUUGUGGGUUAUCUGAAGAUUCCAAGAACCAGUUUGUGUUUGAGGGCGUGAGGUAGUUUGUGUUUGUGUAUAUGUUGUGGGUUAUCUGAAGAUUCCAAGGAGUUGACGACAUCAGUCACGAGAUGCUGCAUAAGAAAGGCAGUACUGUUCUCUGGUACAACCAGACUUUGUGAACUUGAUAUUAAAGGUAGUAUUAUAUUUGUCAGUGUAGUGUCUUGUAAUAUUAUCACUGUCAUAUAUGGAACAACAGGAAUAAGUUCUGUCUCUUGUAUUAUAAGAAAGAGUUCAGGAUGUAUUCUUCAUAAACCCAUCACGAGGAUACAUGAUUAGUGGCUGGAGGAUAUCUUAUGUGGAUGACCUGGUGAACAGUCAGUGCAAUAUCAUCAACUAAAGUGUUCAAUGUAAUAUCACCCUGGUAUAUGUGUGUUUAAUCUCUACUCAAUGCAUUGACUGGAAAAUAUUUAAUGAAAACACUAUUAUUGUGACUACACACAGAGAUCACACUAACGUGAUGCAUCAAUUGAACAAAUCCAAGUUUGUGCCUCGGAGAGGCUACGGGAUCCAGUAAGUUCAGUAGAACUUCGGUUUCAACCCUUUUACCCUGUCGUAGCUCAGUCGAUUAAGGCAGUGUCUGGGAUGCUCCCGGACGCAGGUUCGUAUCCUCGUCAUGGCCCUUGUGGAUUUGUUCACUAUUAUUGUGAUAUAUCAGUAAGAAGACCAAGAGAAAGGAUGUUGCAUUACUCAGCUGGAGUGAUCAUGUCUGAGGGUGUUGUCAAGGUGUAAUGUUUUAGAUGUUUGAGCCUUCUGUAUUUUACUCAGAAAUGUGUUGUAUUCAGAAUUUUUGCUUUGCAUUCAAAUCAGAUCUAUA
Procambarus clarkii (red swamp crayfish) is the source of this 3689-nucleotide non-coding RNA. The record is from RefSeq and is a predicted model, not a curated record. Lineage: Eukaryota; Metazoa; Arthropoda; Malacostraca; Decapoda; Cambaridae.